Non-coding RNA from Backusella circina FSU 941, 74 nucleotides. The record is from the annotation of a GenBank genome assembly. NCBI's taxonomy places the organism in Eukaryota, Fungi, Mucoromycota, Mucoromycetes, Mucorales, Backusellaceae.
GCCUCAUUGGCGCAAUUGGAUAGCGCAUUCGCCUUCUAAGCGAAAGGUUGCGGGUUCGACCCCCGCAUGAGGUU